UCCAUCCCUAGGGAGCCUGUUCUGAAGCUUAACCACUCUUUCAGUGAAAAAAAAAAAAUUAAUUGGUGCCAGAAAUCAUCUACCUGGAAAUAUUCAGACACUGCUAAUAAUAUAUGGAUUCUGUUGGAGAUAGAGUAUCAUACAAGUAUUGGAUGAAAUAUUUACCUAGCAAACAGCCUUGCUGCAACACUUCAAGCAACCUUGACUUGGUGUACAGAAUAUCAUCCCAUGAGGCAGUACUGAGACACAGCUAUUCAGAGGAGUGAGCCCUGCAAAGAAGAUUUUCCAACAUCACAGUAAGGUACUGUCAGAUAUGACCAAACAUAGAUUGCACUGCACAAAGCUAGAUCAUCUUUUCUUCCCAAGUCAUAG
RNAcentral lists this long non-coding RNA (372 nucleotides) under Ficedula albicollis (Collared flycatcher). RNAcentral describes it as "lncRNA (ENSFALG00000024325.1)". The record is from RNAcentral. Lineage: Eukaryota; Metazoa; Chordata; Aves; Passeriformes; Muscicapidae.